CAGCCGCCGCGGGAAUACGGAGGGAGCUAGCGUUGUUCGGAAUUACUGGGCGUAAAGCGCACGUAGGCGGCUUUGUAAGUUAGAGGUGAAAGCCUGGAGCUCAACUCCAGAAUUGCCUUUAAGACUGCAUCGCUUGAAUCCAGGAGAGGUGAGUGGAAUUCCGAGUGUAGAGGUGAAAUUCGUAGAUAUUCGGAAGAACACCAGUGGCGAAGGCGGCUCACUGGACUGGUAUUGACGCUGAGGUGCGAAAGCGUGGGGAGCAAACAGGAUUAGAUACCCCAGUAGUCCCUGUCUCUUAUAC
This 301-nucleotide ribosomal RNA is filed under the name uncultured bacterium. RNAcentral's name for it is "partial 16S ribosomal RNA". It matches the Rfam family "Bacterial small subunit ribosomal RNA", at positions 509 to 807 of the family's 1533-position model. The record is from RNAcentral.